CUCAGUUUAGAAGUGUGCCUCG
RNAcentral lists this microRNA (22 nucleotides) under Haplochromis burtoni (Burton's mouthbrooder). RNAcentral's name for it is "abu-miR-10550-3p". Lineage: Eukaryota; Metazoa; Chordata; Actinopteri; Cichliformes; Cichlidae. The record is from miRBase by way of RNAcentral.